RNAcentral lists this ribosomal RNA (515 nucleotides) under uncultured bacterium. Its description in RNAcentral is "partial 16S ribosomal RNA". It matches the Rfam family "Bacterial small subunit ribosomal RNA", at positions 28 to 523 of the family's 1533-position model. The record is from RNAcentral.
GAUGAACGCUGGCGGCGUGCCUAAUACAUGCAAGUCGAGCGAAUGGAUUAAGAGCUUGCUCUUAUGAAGUUAGCGGCGGACGGGUGAGUAACAGGUGGGUAACCUGCCCAUAAGACUGGGAUAACUCCGGGAAACCGGGGCAAAUACCGGAUAACAUUUUGAACCGCAUGGUUCGAAAUUGAAAGGCGGCUUCGGCUGUCACUUAUGGAUGGACCCGCGUCGCACUAGCUAGUUGGUGCGGUAACGGCUCACCAAGGCAACGAUGCGUAGCCGACCUGAGAGGGUGAUCGGCCACACUGGGACUGAGACACGGCCCAGACUCCUACGGGAGGCAGCAGUAGGGAAUCUUCCGCAAUGGACGAAAGUCUGACGGAGCAACGCCGCGUGAGUGAUGAAGGCUUUCGGGUCGUAAAACUCUGUUGUUAGGGAAGAACUAGUGCUAGUUGAAUAAGCUGGCACCUUGACGGUACCUAACCAGAAAGCCACGGCUAACUACGUGCCAGCCGCCGCAGUAA